This 254-nucleotide ribosomal RNA is filed under the name uncultured bacterium. RNAcentral's name for it is "partial 16S ribosomal RNA". It matches the Rfam family "Bacterial small subunit ribosomal RNA", at positions 524 to 776 of the family's 1533-position model. The record is from RNAcentral.
UACGGGGGGAGCAAGCGUUGUUCGGAUUUACUGGGCGUAAAGGGCGCGUAGGCGGUCAGCACAAGUCAGUUGUGAAAUCUCCGGGCUUAACUCGGAAAGGUCAACUGAUACUGUGCGACUAGAGUGCGGAAGGGGCAACUGGAAUUCUCGGUGUAGCGGUGAAAUGCGUAGAUAUCAGGAGGAACACCGGUGGCGAAGGCGGGUCUCUGGGCCGAUACUGACGCUGAGGAGCGAAAGCGUGGGGAGCGAACAGG